This 954-nucleotide ribosomal RNA is filed under the name Triticum aestivum (bread wheat). RNAcentral describes it as "partial small subunit ribosomal RNA". Lineage: Eukaryota; Viridiplantae; Streptophyta; Magnoliopsida; Poales; Poaceae. The record is from RNAcentral.
AUGGAAGGAACCGCCGGAGUAUUCCAUAGAUUAGCCACAGGAUUUUGGCAAUCUUGCUGUGGCAUCUCGGAUUUCGGAAAUCACGCGCCCGCAGACGCCGCCGUGCCCCCCCUGCAACCACCGCUGGAGUCGGAUGCGAACGCGAUCGCAAUCGCGACGUGUAUAUAUAUACAAGGACGUACUACGUGCACAAGGGCCUGUAAGCAAACCCCAGUGCUCCUGAUCACCAUGCAUUUCUUCCAGGUCGUCAUGGCGUGGAUGUUCCCGUGCGCCAUGUGGGCGGCGAUGGUGCCGGCCGUGGCGACGGCAGCGACCACGGACGGCGCUUCGAGCGUUGAGCAGGGCAGCUCCUCGUCGCCGGCAUUCGGCCCUGUCGACGCUAAGGUGGCCUCCGACCCGGGCUCCUCCCCGGCAUCGAGGUCGUCCACCUCCUCCUCCUUGCUCGGCGCCCGAAGCAGCUCGUCGAACAACGCGUGCUCACCGGUGAGGGAGGGCGGUGACACGGCCGCACGGAAGGGCCACGCGCUAAGGCGGUGCCUGCGCAGGUUCGCCAGAAAUCUGCAGCACGCCGGUGCUGCGGACGAGCGGCCAGACGGGCACGGGAGACGGAAGGGCCGGGCAACGAAGCCGGACGGGAGGGUCGCCGCCGGCGAGGACGGCACCGCCCGGGCGAGGGAGGAGGCCGUCGCGAGCGCGAUCGCCUACUGCAAGGAGUCGAGCCGGCAGCGCUGCAGGCCGCCGUUGGCUCCCUCGCCCUGCUUGGACGGCUGGCUCCUCGUUCGUCCGGAGGAGAAGAUCGGCACCAGCGCCACGAGCGCCGUCUCGCCCUGCGAAUGCGAGGCGCAGGGCACCUUGAGCGCCGCCGCCCCCCACCACGGCCACGCGGCCUGCGAUGGUACGUGUUGUCAACCGAUCCGUCGGUCGAUCUGCUCUGCUGCACCCGUGCACGUCUAA